RNAcentral lists this ribosomal RNA (460 nucleotides) under uncultured bacterium. RNAcentral's name for it is "partial 16S ribosomal RNA". It matches the Rfam family "Bacterial small subunit ribosomal RNA", at positions 338 to 795 of the family's 1533-position model. The record is from RNAcentral.
CCUACGGGGUGCAGCAGUGAGGAAUAUUGGUCAAUGGACGAGAGUCUGAACCAGCCAAGUAGCGUGAAGGAUGACUGCCCUAUGGGUUGUAAACUUCUUUUAUAAAGGAAUAAAACGAGGCACGUGUGCCUUUUUGCAUGUACUUUAUGAAUAAGGAUCGGCUAACUCCGUGCCAGCAGCCGCGGUAAUACGGAGGAUCCGAGCGUUAUCCGGAUUUAUUGGGUUUAAAGGGAGCGUAGAUGGGUUGUUAAGUCAGUUGUGAAAGUUUGCGGCUCAACCGUAAAAUUGCAAUUGAUACUGGCAGUCUUGAGUACAGUUGAGGUAGGCGGAAUUCGUGGUGUAGCGGUGAAAUGCUUAGAUAUCACGAAGAACCCCGAUUGCGAAGGCGGGUUCCUGGACAUUAACUGACGCUGAGGCACGAAGGCCAGGGGAGCGAAAGGGAUUAGAUACCCCAGUAGUC